AACGAAUUGCUUCACCAGUCUUCGAGAGUAUUGGAGAAGUGAUCUGUCCUUUGCUGAAACCUGACUCGACGUCAUCUAUAAAACCAGAAGUUGAGUAUGGAAUAGUAUAUGGUGUUUCAGUGAGUAAUAGUGGUGACAUCUUUAGUAACGAGAGUCUGGCAGUGGUGUAUAACUCUAGAUGUCAACAAUGUAACAUAGUUGGAAUUCAAGUACAGUGUUCAUACAAGGGUGAUUUUUGUAUGUCUGAGGGAGAAUGUUAUGAAAAUGAUGAAAGACACCCCGCGUAUACCUGUUAUAGCUGUUCAAUAAAUGGUGAUUCCAGAUCGUGGAAAUAUAACCAAGGUGCUGACUGUCCAGACGUAUCGACAACAGAAUCAACUGGUCUUGGUGAUAAUUUAUGGAUAAUUGUUGGUGUAUCGGCAGCUGUUGUUGUCCUGUUGGUGGUCGCAAUAAUCGGUUAUAUAAAAUAUAAAAAACGACAUCUACCCAAGUCAACACCGGAACCACCCAAGCUGUAUAUGAAUUGCUGAAGUCAAAUUAAUCAUGUUGGCUUCAUCUUACAAGUAUAUCGUUUAUUCGUGAAAACUUACGUACAACUCCUGGAAAGAAAGAAAAACUAAUUAAAUAUAAGCAACUUUAUUAUACUUAAUAAUGGCCCAUUUUUAUACUCAAUAAUAUAAUAGCCUAUUUUUGUCCCCCGCCUUUCGAAGAAAGCAGGGGACUAUUAAAAUGGGUCUGUCUGUCUGUCUGUCUGUCUGUCUGUCCGUCACACUUUUUGGGACACAAUAACUCUCUUUCUAAUUGACAUAGAAUGUUCAAACUUAGUGUAGGUGUUUAUUAGGGCAAUGCCUUGAUGGAGUUCGAAGAUGAGCAUUUUCUGCUUAGGAACACAAUAACUCUUCUUCUAAUUGAGCCAGAAUGUUCAAACUUGGUGUAGGUGUUUAUUAAGUCAAUGCCUUGAUGGAGUUCGAAGAUGAGCAUUUUCUGCUUAGGGUAAGCAGAGAUAAGCAAUUUGAUUUGUUGAUGCUUUGAGACACGAUAACUUUAGUUCUAACUAAGUGAGAGUGAUGAAACUUGGUGUAUAGUUUCAUUACAUCAAUAUCUUGACUAAGUGCGAUAAUGAGCAUUUUCUGGUCAGGGCAAGCAGAGUGAUAAGCAAUUUGAUUGGUCGAGACUUUGGAACACAAUAACUCUCAUUCUAAUUGAGUUAGAAUGUUCACACUUGGCGUAGGUGUCUAUUAGGUAAAUGCCUUGAUGGAGUUGGAAGAUGAAAUUUUCUGCUUAAGGUAAGCAGAGAUAAGCAGUUUGAUUGGUUGAUGCUUUGGGAACUUCAGUUCUAAUUAAGUGAGAGUGAGGACACUUGGUGUAUAGCUUUAUUACAUGAAUACCUUGACUGAGUCAUACUGUACGCAGCGACCCAUCUACGUCAUACUUCCCAGAAUGUGACACUGCCCUGAGUUCAAUGAUUAACAUUUCGAGCUGACGCUAAGCAGAGCUAAUCGAUUUCAUUUGUCGAUGGUUUGGGACAAGAUAAUUCCGAUUCUAUCUAAUAGAGAGUGAUGAAACUUAGUGUAUGGUUUGAUUGCUCGAUACUUUUGAAAAUGUGCGAUUAAUUAAUAUGUGUCAUCUUUUUAUUUUGGUAUUUCGGCGGAGGACAUCAGCCUCACUGUUGGCUUGUUAUACUCAAUAAUAGCCCAUUUUUAUACUAAUAAUGGCCCAGUUGUAUACUCAAUAAUACCCCAUUUUUCUACUUAAUAAUAACCCAUUUUUAUACAAAUAAUGGCUCAUUUUAUACUCAAUAAUACCCUAUUUUUAUACUUAAUAAUGGCUCAUUUUUGUUCACAUUACUACCGGUGUUAUUAUAUUGUAUCAUAAUAAAAUGUUAACCUUG
Molecule: long non-coding RNA, 1891 nt
Organism: Patella vulgata (common limpet)
Lineage: Eukaryota; Metazoa; Mollusca; Gastropoda; Patellidae
Exons: 4
Source: RefSeq, a predicted model, not a curated record